This 424-nucleotide ribosomal RNA is filed under the name uncultured bacterium. Its description in RNAcentral is "bacterial SSU rRNA". It matches the Rfam family "Bacterial small subunit ribosomal RNA", at positions 358 to 774 of the family's 1533-position model. The record is from RNAcentral.
GGAAUAUUGGACAAUGGGGGAAACCCUGAUCCAGCGACGCCGCGUGUGUGAAGAAGGCCUGCGGGUUGUAAAGCACUUUUAGUGGGGAUGAAAUGUGCAGGGUUAAUACCUCUGCAUUUUGACCUAACCCACAGAAAAAGCACCGGCUAACUCUGUGCCAGCAGCCGCGGUAAUACAGAGGGUGCAAGCGUUAAUCGGAAUUACUGGGCGUAAAGCGUGCGUAGACGGUUACAUAAGUCGGGUGUGAAAGCCCCGGGCUCAACCUGGGAAUUGCAUUCGAGACUGCGUAGCUAGGGUGCGGAAGAGGGAAGCGGAAUUUCCGGUGUAGCGGUGAAAUGCGUAGAUAUCGGAAGGAACACCAGUGGCGAAAGCGGCUUCCUGGUCCAGCACCGACGUUCAGGCACGAAAGCGUGGGGAGCAAACA